This 433-nucleotide ribosomal RNA is filed under the name uncultured bacterium. RNAcentral describes it as "partial 16S ribosomal RNA". It matches the Rfam family "Bacterial small subunit ribosomal RNA", at positions 29 to 507 of the family's 1533-position model. The record is from RNAcentral.
AACGAACGCUGGCGGCAUGCCUAACACAUGCAAGUCGAACGAGACCUUCGGGUCUAGUGGCGCACGGGUGCGUAACGCGUGGUAACCUGCCCUUAGGUUCGGAAUAACUCCCCGAAAGGGGUGCUAAUACCGGAUAAUGUCUUCGGACCAAAGAUUUAUCGCCUUUGGAUGGGCCCGCGUUGGAUUAGCUAGUUGGUAGGGUAAAAGCCUACCAAGGCGACGAUCCAUAGCUGGUCUGAGAGGAUGAUCAGCCACACUGGGACUGAGACACGGCCCAGACUACUACGGGAGGCAGCAGUGGGGAAUAUUGGAAAAUGGGCGAAAGCCUGAUCCAGCAAUGCCGCGUGAGUGAUGAAGGCCUUAGGGUUGUAAAGCUCUUUUACCCGGGAUGAUAAUGACAGUACCGGGAGAAUAAGCUCCGGCUAACUCCGUG